AACUUAUCCGGAGUAUCAAAAUAACUCCUCAUAAAACAAAGCAUUGCAGGAGAAGUUAGGGUUUUCUGCAAAUUCGAACAUUUCCCCGCUUUCGCUGAAGAAUACUUCAUCUCGUCUCUCUUCGAAAAUUGCUACAUUUCCUGAGAUUCUUGUUCAGAGGGUGCUUACUAGAGUAUAUAUGCUUCAUCUUAAUGAUCUUUAAUGUUGUAAGAGCAGGGAGAUUCUUCUGCCGAUUCCAGCAAGUUGUUGGUUCUCAAAUCGAAGUCCUUCCAGGAUUUUGCUUCCCGAAAUCGGCAUCACAUCUGAGGACUCUUGUACAAAGACAUGAGGCUAGAAGGAAUGUAGCUUCUGCUCAUAGCAUAAUAUUUGAUAUCGGUUGCUCUAAAGCCUUCAAGAAAAUCAACAUGUCUAGUUCUUUAGAACUUCUCAAAGGCAGCCAGGGAUUUCAUUCAGAUGUUAAAUCCUCUAUUAUAACAGAUGCAGUAGCCAAUGUUGGUGGCUUGCCUUCUGUGAAAUUAGAUGAAAAAUCUCAGGAUUCUCUGUCAGCCAGACAGGAUCACACAUGUUCCUUGAGUGUGCAGUCCACUCCAGACAUUGAACGUAAAUAUGUCCAUCGUGUCUAUGAUGCUAUUGCUCCCCAUUUCAGCUCCACCCGCUUUGCCAAGUGGCCUAAGGUCGCCAGCUUUUUGAAUUCCUUGGUGCCGGGUUCUGUCAUCUUAGAUGCAGGCUGUGGUAAUGGAAAGUACUUGGGCUUAAAUCCUUAUUGCUUUUACAUUGGCUGCGAUAUAAGCACUCCGUUGAUCAACAUAUGUGCGGAAAGAGGACACGAAGUUAUUGUUGCAGAUGCUGUCAAUCUUCCUUAUAGAACUGGCUUCGGCGAUGCAGCUAUUUCUAUUGCUGUCUUGCAUCAUCUGAGCACCGAAAGUAGGAGGAGAAAAGCUAUAGAGGAAUUGAUCCGGGUUGUACGGCCGGGUGGUUUGGUUUUAAUAACAGUAUGGGCUGUAGAACAAGAAGAUAGGUCGUUGCUUGCAAAGUGGACCCCACUUUUGAACAAGUAUGAUGAAGAGUGGAUAGGAUCAGGCAGUCUUCGUGUGCGUAGUAGCCCAUUAACUGCCACUUUGUCAACCAUCCCGGAAACUGAGGAAAACAGUCACCUUGAGGUGGAUGAAUUAAGACGAGCAUGCAAUCAGAACAUGUUGAAAGAUUUGGCACAACAGUCCAAGGAGGAAACAGGUGUUGGUGUUGUAUCUUCUCGAACGGAAGAUGGUUCUAUAGCUUCUAGAGACAGUGAUAUCAAAAGCCACCAGGAAUAUUUUGUUCCUUGGCACUUACCCUAUCAUCGAGCUGAGAUCAGCGGUGCAUCUGCUUCCGCUCUUGCUAAUGGUCUGGCCAAGAAAGAUGAUAAAAAGGGUGCAGUUGUCUACAAUCGGUAUUACCAUGUAUUCAUCAAAGGCGAGCUUGAAAGGUUGGUUUCUGGUAUUCAGAAUGCAGUCAUCUCUGACCAGUUCUAUGACAAAUCCAAUUGGUGUAUAAUUCUCGAGAAGACAUAAACGCUAGUGCUGGGUUAUUGGCCUGGAUUUACCUAAUACAUGAAUGGAAAUUGCUGAAAUGCUCUAAAUCUUCUGAGAAGCAUUUCCAAGACAGGAUGAAUGGAGUUUUUGAACCUUGGAUUGUGCCUGGAUUGGAUGAAUCUGCAUCUUGAUUCAACAUCCCGCUUGCAGAAUGCGCAUGUAGUGGUUAGGAGCAGAGUGACAAAUGUAGCUGGUAUUUUGAAAAUAUAUAAUUAUAUGCAACUAGUACUUGAGGAAGAAAAAAAUUACAAAUGACAUCAAACCGACAAUAUCCCCAUGUUCCCAAAAACCAAAAACCCAUAUAAGCCUGUAUCUAUAAAAUAUUUGACCCUUUUAAAAUAUGACUCUUUUCCUUUGAACAUGGAUGGUCUCCAAUUCUUUGAAUGAUCGAAGGCUUAAAACAUUUUGACCUGGGA
This is an RNA transcript of Magnolia sinica, 1987 nucleotides long. It is a transcript of the gene named tRNA (carboxymethyluridine(34)-5-O)-methyltransferase, with no coding region annotated. The transcript is spliced from 4 exons. The record is from RefSeq and is a predicted model, not a curated record. Lineage: Eukaryota; Viridiplantae; Streptophyta; Magnoliopsida; Magnoliales; Magnoliaceae.